Long non-coding RNA from Leopardus geoffroyi (Geoffroy's cat), 1259 nucleotides. RefSeq lists it as uncharacterized. Lineage: Eukaryota; Metazoa; Chordata; Mammalia; Carnivora; Felidae. The transcript has 2 exons. The record is from RefSeq and is a predicted model, not a curated record.
AAAGGUAAAGGAACCACCAAGGGGGGAAGCAGAGGCUGCAGAAAGAUCAGUGCGCAUACUGCAAGGGGAUAGGGCAUUGGGCCCGAGAGUGUCUGAAAAGGGCCGGCAGGAAGGGAAGCAAGACUGAUCGAGUAAAAGUCCUAGAGCUAGAUGAACUAAGUGAUUAGGGGAGUCGGGGUUCGGACCCUCUCCCCGAACCCAGGGUAACUCUUAAAUUAGAGGGGACCCCUGUUGACUUCCUUGACACCAGAGCACAAUAUUCGGUCCUCCGCACCCCACAAGGAAAACUAGCCAGCAAGAAGUCCUGGGUACAAGGGGCAACUGGUAUGAGCCAAUAUUCAUGGACUACCCAAAGAACGAUAGAUUUGGGGACGGGACGGGUAUCCCACUCCUUUAUGGUAAUACCAGAAUGCCCCUACCCGCUGUUAGGAUGGGACUUACUGACCAAGAUUGGAGCUCAGAUAGCUUUCAGACAAGGGGGGGCCUCAGGUCCGAUGGCAAGGGCCACGCCAUCCAGGUCCUGACCAUGAAACUGGAGGAUGAAUACCGCCUCCACCAGGAGGCGCUCCCGAGAGAGGAUAAUAUAGACAGAUGGUUACAAGAAUUCCCCUCGGUUUGGGCACAGAUGGGGGAGAUAGGACUGGCUGCUCACAGGACCCCGGUCCUGGUAGAGCUCAAGCCAGGAGAGAGUCCGGUAAGGAUCAAACAAUACCCCAUGUCUCAGGAUGCCUGGAAGGGGAUCCAGCCACACAUCCAGAGAUUACGAAGCCUAGGCGUACUAGUUCCUUGCCAGUCUCCCUGGAACACCCCCCUAAUGCCAGUCAAAAAGCCUCACACAAAUGACUACUGACCGGUACAAGACCUCCGGGAAGUAAAUAAGAGGGUCACGGACAUACACCCAACUGUUCCCAACCCAUAUACUCUCUUGAGCUCCUUGGCGCCCUCCAGGGUCUGGUAUACUGUACUAGAUUUAAAGGACAUCUUCUUCAGUCUGCCGCUGGCACCCCAGAGCCAACCUUUGUUCGCCUUCGAGUGGCAUGAUCCGGAGGAAGGCUACAGUGGGCAACUCACCUGGACACGGCUACCUCAGGGAUUCAAAAAUUCGCCCACCAGCUUUGAUGAGGCACUACACGAGGACCUGGACACCUUCUCUGGCUGGGUGGAGGCAUACCCAACCAACCAUGAAAUGGCUCAGACGGUGACUAAGAAGCUACUAGAAGACAUCUUACCCAGGUAUGGUUUUCCUGCCAUGGUAGGAU